UCUGAAGCUCAAAGAAGACGAAUGAAGAAAUAAGAGCCUAGCUGUUUCUUCGGCGGUGAUGGUGCACGUUUGAACUGUAAAUGUGGUGCAGCUCGAUUUCGCCGAACAGCGUCGAAGAAUACUUACAAUCACGAUGAAGAUCGAUAUGAAGAAAAUUUGCAGUUUCUUCGGCGGCGGUGCACUACUACGUAUAGUCUGAAGAUUGACACAACUCGGUUUCACGGGAACAGUCGACGCUUAAAUCUUGCCAUAAUAUCGGAAAAACAAAAAAACUGAAAUAAUUACGCUAUAAUGUCAACCCGGAGGACGAUUGACAGUAUCAUUAAGAAGAAGCACAUCUGAAGAACAAAAAUUAGUGUCGCAAGGCUGUGUUUGUUUAAUAAUAUAAUUUUUUGAACAGUAGUACAGUAUAUUAUGAAUAUUUACUUAAAUUAUAUUUAAUUUUUAUGGUUUUUUUUUCAGAUAAUGUACUGUACUACGGUUUUAGGUGUUCUUUUUAUUUUAAUAAUACGUUGAUAAAUUACUAAUUUUUUCGAUUUUUUUUUCUUUUCACAAAGCUAGUUCGUCUUUGUGUAUGUUUAAAUUUAUAUUUUUUUAUAGUUAUUGUGCUGUUUAACUUUCUUAUAAAAGAGAGUGAGGAAUUAAAAAGGUGGCCACCGAACAGAAAGUUAAACUGCAAUAUACUAUAAUCUUUUUAGUUCAUGUUUACAUUUUUAACUGAUAAAUUAUAAAUAUAAAAUUUCAAAUUAAUUUAAAUUCAAAAAUAAAAGAACACCAACAUAGAUUUCUUAAACAUUAAAAUUUUACUAUAAAUUUAAACUACAUUUAAUCAGCACAUUAGUUGAAGUUUUAUAGGAACCGAACAUUUGGCUGGAUCAUGGACUACCCACCGACGGAGAAUUUGUCAUUGAGCUGAAGGAAGAUGUGUCAGCACUCGGCUUCGUUUCAACCCGGAGGAAGAUUGGCAGCAUCAAUAUAAGAAGCUCAUCUUAAUGUCAACUGUCCAAAGGAUUUGUUUUGAAGAAGAAUUCGUCACAAAGCUGAUGGAAAAUGUGUCGGCACUCGGCUUCGUUUCAACCCGGAGGAAGAUUGGCAUCAUCAAUAUAAGAAGCUCAUCUUAAUGUCAACUGUCCAAAGGAUUUGUUUUGAAGAAGAAUUCGUCACAAAGCUGAUGGAAAAUGUGUCGACACUCGGCUUCGUUUCAACCCGGAGGAAGAUUGGCAGCAUCAAUAAGAAGCUCAUCUUAGUUAAGUUGUCCCCCCCUUUACGCAUUAGCGCUCAUCUCUCAUCCACUCAUCCAACACAUUCACUAUCGCCGGCCGGCAACACACAUAUAUUAUACACAUUAACCGUUUUAUAUUAUAUAAUAGUAUUAUUAAUAUCCACAUAAUUUAAGUUAUUGUAUAUUUUUUUUUAUUAUUUGAAUGCAUUCAUAUGAUCAGUGGCGUAUUUAGGAAUUUUAGGAUAAGGGCAACACAUAUUUUACCGCCUUCCCCCCUCAUUAAAAAAAAAUUAAAAAACUACGCCGCGCAAUAGUGGUCAAACUGUUAAUACCAUAGAAUACCAUGUUAUAUAAAUACUGUAUAGUAUUUUAUACCUCUAUGGCAAUGGCACACAUUUGUUGUGAAAAUUAUUAAUGAUUGACGUCACUGCGCCAGUACUCAUAAAGUACGAAAUAAAAAUUUGCCGCCUCUCUAAAUCUUUAAAAAUUUGCCGUUCUGGACAACUGGACCCAAAGCCCCUACCUAAAUACGCCCCUGCAUAUAAUGCGUUCUCGCUUACGAUGUGGAUUAGGCCUACUGGGGACACCACAAUAAAAAAACGCGCCUCGUGUAAUACCUCAUAAAGUUAUUAAACAAUACGGACAAUGUUAUUGUACGUCGUUUAAUAAUAAAGGUGGUGUGGAAAAUUACCUAACACUGUUAU
Long non-coding RNA from Rhopalosiphum padi (bird cherry-oat aphid), 1926 nucleotides. RefSeq lists it as uncharacterized. The record is from RefSeq and is a predicted model, not a curated record. Lineage: Eukaryota; Metazoa; Arthropoda; Insecta; Hemiptera; Aphididae. The transcript is spliced from 5 exons.